This is a long non-coding RNA of Ixodes scapularis (black-legged tick), 198 nucleotides long. RefSeq lists it as uncharacterized. The record is from RefSeq and is a predicted model, not a curated record. The transcript is spliced from 3 exons. NCBI's taxonomy places the organism in Eukaryota, Metazoa, Arthropoda, Arachnida, Ixodida, Ixodidae.
CAACCGGCACGGAAACUAAAGAAGCACACAAGCCAAGUCCUUCGUUCGAACUUGACAACAGUGGCUUCUCGAUGUUACUGUCCGCAAGACGACCAAGUGAAGAAGAGCGUGGGCUUUUGGAAGUUUCGGUGGUGACAAAGAUACAAACGGCAAGACCAAAGCUCCGGGUUCCGACCACAUAAACGUUUCGAUAAAAUG